GUGUAAAUAGGCAGCGCGCCAUAUUCAUUUUAUUUUGUAGUGUAGGCCCAUGGGUUCCAUGGUGUAGGUAAGGUUGCAGGAAGGCUCCUAUGUGCAGACAAUCCAAUUUUGGAACUGUAAUCAAGGCUAUUGUCACAAGUUCCUGUGCCGUGUCGAGCAUGUGAUGAAGCGCCAGGAGUCGCCGGAGAGUAGUGACGGUUCGUCAGCCGUGGUUUGCGUGGUGCCGCCGGUGCGCCGCUCUCCCGCCGAGCCGCCCCUUCUCGUCGCCCAGUCUGGCCGCCCAGCCGAGCCUGGCGCGGCUGACGGCGCCGUAGACGGCAUCAUGUAGAACCAGCAUAGGUGAAGAAAUAAUGCGGCGGUGGCUCGUUGCAGUACUCUGCCGGCGCCAGCGAAGAACCGGCCUCUACCGCCGCUGGGCCGGUGCCGCACUCCUCUGCGCCCCAGCGACAGGAAGCUGCCGCCGCCGCCGCCGAUGCCGGCGCCGUUCAGCCCAGCUACCACCGACUCAAGGUGGAGGACGUGCUCUCCUACCAGGACCAGGUCAAGUCCAAGUUCCAGAACAACCCACAGGUCCACAACGACUUUCUCGAUAUCAUGAAGGAGUUCAAGGCGCAAAAUACCUACACGUCUCGAUGAUGGCGCCGGGCUAGGUGACCACAGCGCGGUGUACACGCCCACUGGCGACUUCCAGACCUAUUCGGACACAGUGGUACCGACGCCGCCGCCGCAGCCCCAGCAGCAGCAGCCACCGCCACCGCCGCUGCCGACGGCGCCCAGCGCGCCGCCCAAACCGAGUCACCAGCCGCCUACCAAGGAGCAGGUAUGGCACCAACAGGCAACAACAUCCUGUCGCACGCUGUGCGGCGGCGGCCGGCGUCGGGGGCCACCACGUCACCGCGCACCACUCGUACAACCAGCCGCCGCCGUCCGCGGCGCCCACAGCCGCCGCGUCGGCCGCGCUCGUCGGCGGCGCCGGCUCCAACCUGCCCAACCAGGGUGUGGCCGGCACACAGCAGAGCCAGCCGGUCGAGUUCAACCACGUCAUCAUUUACGGCAACAAACUCAAGGGAAACAUCGCUGCUCCUCACGACCCAUGGAUGAUGAGCAGUGAAGAUUGACUACCACCGGAUCACAGUCUGCGCGCUCUGGUGGUUGGUGCCCGAAUGGGGAGAUGCGUGCAUCGGCGCGAGUGAUCACCGGGUGCCCGCUAUCGACUCCCUCACACGCUGUCAUGGCGGAGGCUGGCCUCGCCCCGGUGGUGGAACGCCGCCAAGUCCUGGCGGCGCGACUCCUGGCGAAGGCCCUCGCCCUGUCUGAGGGAGGUCCGCUCCGUGUCGUGGCGUCCAGCAACCCACCCAGCAGACUGAGGACAACGGGAUGGCGACAAGUGGGAGGAGAGGUCCUGGCGGCGAUCGGGGUCGCUCCCCCCCCCCCCCCCAUCGAGCCGCUACUCCCCCUGCGAGAGCCUCCAUGGGCCUCAACAGGUCCGAUCAACUUCCGGCUAGAUAUCGGUGCGGCGCUAACACCAGCAGCAUCAGCCCAGCAAAGACACACCACCGCGACACACCACCUGGCAUCGCUCCCGCAGUGCGCCACGUGGUGCUGGACCGACGGAUCGGCAUCCGGAGGCAUCACCGACGGAGGAGCGGGUGCUUUCAUCAAGAGGCCGGACGGCGAGGUGACAGACGCUCCGCGUCGCCGCCGGCCGCCUCUGCUCUAGCUACAGAGCGGAGAUGAUCGCACCCCAAAGAGCUGCCAACCACCUAGUCAACAACCCGGCACACUUGGAGGACGCGAUCAUCUUUUGUUGUUGUUGUAUUCCCCUCGGCCCGUCACCGGGGCGUAGUCGUUCGGCUCUGGAAGGACCGAAAGCCGGCGGCCAAGGCCGCCACCACGUCGUCCCGUCUGAAGUCGGUGGAGCGUCCGUAAAUGUUGCCCAUGGCGAGGAGGCGGGCCCCGCAGAGGCACGGGCAGCGCAGCAGGACGUGUUGCGGGGUGUCACUGUCCGCCUCAUCAUGUCGAUCAUCUUCUUGACCGACUCCAUGGCGGCACUCGCGCGGCUCCGCGAGGGACCAGCGGCGCAGUCGACAUCGCUCGGAGUCGGGAUCUGGAGAGCCCUGCGCUCCCUGGCCUCAUCGGGACGACCCAUUCACCUCCAGUGGGUCCCCUCGCAUUGCGGCCUUCCUGGAAAUGAGAGGGCAGACACCCUGGCGGGGGAGGCCUCCGCCCUGGACCAGAACUCAGACACACACCACUGGACACCAGAACGAUCCAGAGAGCAGCGGCAAGGCUGGCGCGUGCGAGGACCAUAGCGGCCUGGCCCGACGGCUGGUAUCGCCAACUGCCGGUGCGGGCUCUGUCGUGAGGAAGCAGACACCUCAGCCCACGUGCUGAUGCGGUGUCCCGCCCUGGUGCAACUGCCGGUUCCGAGUGCUCGGAACUAUACACCCGACCCACGAGGACCUGCGCAGCAUCGACGCAGUGGCGGCCCUGGGGGCCGCCUUCGUCCCCCUCCAGAGCCGGCAGGAUACGCCCUAGGGCUGGAGGGAGACAACAACAACAACAACAACAACAACAACAACAACAACAACAACAACAGACGGACAUGAACCCAUUUAAUGCGUUCAAACGCUACCGCGACAGCCGCAAGGUGCUCGAGUAUCGGACGGAGCUGUUAAUCAGCUCGUGUUGCGAAAUGCGAGGUGCCAUCGGCGUAGUGCCGGCGCAAUAUGAGCACGGUCCGUUGCCGUGCGCCAGCUGCCUCAGUCUACUGGCCAGCCCGGUGAGACGGCACCUCGCCGUCGCCGCCGGACGCUCAGGUGGGAUCUCUGAUGUGUUGAGCUCAGCUUGAAGUGUCUUCAGUCACCCAGCAGCGACUGGAGCGGUCCGAGCGAGCCCGUGUACCGCCGCCAGUGUUUGGUCGUGUUUGGGGCCGUACGGCACGGGUGAUCUGUACGGGCGCGGCCGUAUCUUAUGUUACGUAUCGUAGCUAAGCACGACUUGUCACUGUCCACCACGGGACCCGCCCAUGUUGACGGCGUCGCAAUGUACUCAUUGAUUGACUAGUGCUGCGCGACUGCUCGGAGUUGACCAGUUAACGUUUUGUAGGCUUUAUUAUCACUGGCGGAGGCGUGGGGACUGCCGAGUGUUUUCUAUUCGUCAGUGUUUGCCGAGGCGAGGCUGCUUAAUGACGAUUGUGACAUGUUACUAUGGAUCCUCACGUGAAGUCGUCGGGUUAUCUAACUUGGUUCAUCAAUAAAUGGUGUGACCUACAAA
RNAcentral lists this long non-coding RNA (3276 nucleotides) under Amphibalanus amphitrite. RNAcentral describes it as "uncharacterized LOC122391132, transcript variant X3". The record is from RNAcentral. Lineage: Eukaryota; Metazoa; Arthropoda; Thecostraca; Balanomorpha; Balanidae.